CGCCCACAUCAUGACGCCCGAGGAGAACGCGGGUACCAAACUCUUGCUGCAGGGUUUUGAGAGCCGCUUCCUAGUGGCGCGCACACUGCGCUCCUUCCCCUGGCAGAGCUUAGAGGCAAAGUUAAGAGACUCAUCAGAUUCUGAGCUGCUGCAGGAUAUUUUGCAGAAGACUGUGAGGCAUCCUGUGUGUGUGAAGCACCCGCCGUCAGUCAAGUAUGCCUGGUGCUUUCUCUCAGAACUCAUCAAAAAGCACGAGGCUGUCCACACGGAGCCUUUGGAUGAGCUGUACGAGGCGCUGGCGGAGACCCUGAUGGCCAAGGAGUCCCCCCAGGGCCACCGGAGCUAUUUGUUGCCCUCGGGAGGCUCGGUCACACUCUCCGAAAGCAUGGCCAUCAUCUCCCACAGCACCACGGGUCUGGUCACAUGGGAUGCCGCCCUCUACAUUGCAGAAUGGGCCAUCGAGAACCCGGCAGCCUUCACUCACAGGUCUGUCUUAGAGCUUGGCAGUGGUGCCAGCCUCACAGGCCUGGCCAUCUGCAAGAUAUGCCGCCCCCGGGCAUACAUCUUCAGCGACUGUCACAGCCGAGUCCUCGAGCAGCUCCAAGGAAAUGUCCUUCUCAAUGGCCUCUCAUUAGAGGCAGACAUCACUGCCAACUUAGACAGCCCUAGGGUGACAAUGGCCCAGCGCUGGACUGGGACGUAGUGACGGUCCAUCAGCGCUCUGCCUUCCAGCUAGAUGUUGUCAUUGCAGCAGAUGUGCUGUAUUGCCCAGAAGCCAUUGUGUCACUGGUCAGGGUCCUGCGGAGGCUGGCUGCCUGCCGGGAGCACCAGCGGGCUUCUGAGGUCUACGUGGCCUUCGCUGUCCGCAAUUGAGAGACGUGCCAGCUGUUCACCACCGAGCUAGGUUUUUGCUUGUCUGAUGACUGAUGGCUCCACCCAGACCUGCCAACCACUCCCGCGGCCCCAUCCAGAAGUGGCUCAGCGUGCAUGAGGACCAUCUCCAACAUCCCUGUGAUUGUACCCCCAACCAACCAGCAGCAAGAACCUAUUGCCUAGUCACCUCCCCUCUCUUUCCCCAACUAUCAUUGAAAAAGUCUGGCUUCCAAAUUUUCCGGGAGACUGAUUUGGGCCCAGCCCCAGGGCGCAAGGCCGCUUGCAUCAGCAGCGUGCGUGAGCAGAUGCGCCAGCAAGAUAGCAAAAGCAGGAAGAGAGCCAGCCGGAAGACAAGUACCUCUGAAGAUGGAGAAAGAGGCCAUCUGGGUACAACGUUGCAGUUACGUCAGACCAGGACACUUCCUGUUUACAGGAGACUAUAAAACCUUUGCCCCAUCCUCACUUGGGGCUGACGCCGUUUUAGGCCUCAGCCCGCCAGCACCCAGGCUCUCAUUAAAACAGCAUGUUGCUCCACA
Homo sapiens (human) is the source of this 1409-nucleotide long non-coding RNA. Ensembl annotates it as family with sequence similarity 86, member A pseudogene. Its record names the gene FAM86B3P. Lineage: Eukaryota; Metazoa; Chordata; Mammalia; Primates; Hominidae. The record is from Ensembl.